Molecule: ribosomal RNA, 483 nt
Filed under: uncultured bacterium
Lineage: Bacteria
Description: partial 16S ribosomal RNA
Rfam family: Bacterial small subunit ribosomal RNA
Source: RNAcentral
GACGAACGCUGGCGGCGUGCUUAACACAUGCAAGUCGAACGCUGAAGCUCAGCUUUUGUUGGGUGGAUGAGUGGCGAACGGGUGAGUAACACGUGAGUAACCUGCCCCCUUCUUUGGGAUAACGCCCGGAAACGGGUGCUAAUACUGGAUAUUCACUGGUCUUCGCAUGGGGGUUGGUGGAAAGGGUUUUUCUGGUGGGGGAUGGGCUCGCGGCCUAUCAGCUUGUUGGUGGGGUGAUGGCCUACCAAGGCUUUGACGGGUAGCCGGCCUGAGAGGGUGACCGGUCACAUUGGGACUGAGAUACGGCCCAGACUCCUACGGGAGGCAGCAGUGGGGAAUAUUGCACAAAGGGCGCAAGCCUGAUGCAGCGACGCCGCGUGAGGGAUGGAGGCCUUCGGGUUGUGAACCUCUUUCGCUCAUGGUCAAGCCGCAACAAUGGUUGUGGUGAGGGUAGUGGGUAAAGAAGCGCCGGCUAACUACGUG